RNAcentral lists this ribosomal RNA (786 nucleotides) under Triticum aestivum (bread wheat). Its description in RNAcentral is "partial small subunit ribosomal RNA". The record is from RNAcentral. Lineage: Eukaryota; Viridiplantae; Streptophyta; Magnoliopsida; Poales; Poaceae.
AUGGCAGAAGGGCACUGGCACCCCGGGGCCGGGGUAGGGGUGCAAAGGCACGCCGGCACCGGCGUCCCGUACACGGGCGGAGCGUACACCGGCAUGGGCUUCAUGCGCCGGUGCGCGAACAAGGGCUUCCUGCCGAACGCGUGGCACGGGAAGCAGAUGUUGGCCGCCGCGCACUCGGGCGCCGCCGACGUCCCACCUCGCGCCGCCUUGCCAGCGACGGCGACGAAGGUGCCCUCGGCCAGCAGCGGCACGAUCCUCGACGGCUCCUGCCCGGGGCACGGCGCGCCGCUCGCCGCGCUCUGGAGCUGCGCGAGGCACUCGGAGGCGCCGGCGUCGGCCGGGAGGAGCACCUCGAACGCGCCCGUGCCGUCGAGGCUGGCGACGGCCUUGCUCUCGUUCUUGCACGUGAUGGCGACCUUGAGGCCCCUGAACGCCGCCUCGGCGCCCAAGCUCUUCCUCCCGCAGCCGGCGCACUGGGCCAUGCCGACGACGAAGACGACCGACGUGUCCCCGCCGCCGCCGCCGCCUCCCUCCGCAGCGGCCGCCAUCAGCGCCCCAGCGCAGACGAUGAGAACGCGGAGCAGCAGCCUCCCUCCACCACCUCCUUCCAUGGCGACCAUCUCCACCUAUCUAUCUACCCGCUGCACCUCUGCGACAACAACCACAAGCGAAGUGAGGGAGCGGCAGCCAUGGCGAGGGUGUGUAUAUAGCCAGGAAGCAGGCGGCGAGCGAGCGAUCCACUCCAUGGAAGAUCCAUCAAUGAACAAUUACUCAAGGGAUGAAUGA